Non-coding RNA from Megalopta genalis, 613 nucleotides. The record is from RefSeq and is a predicted model, not a curated record. Lineage: Eukaryota; Metazoa; Arthropoda; Insecta; Hymenoptera; Halictidae.
UCGAAAUGGUGGACGUAUCGGGACGCAAGUUCCCGAGAGGAGACGAAGGACGAUAAACUGGGCAAGGGCCCAUCAUCCGUGUCAUCGGUAUUAUCAAAUCGGGAACACGAUUAAUCGCGAAUAUUGGUGUAAUAUCAAGGUGGACCGACGACGACAAAGCUGGCGCAGGAGCAUCAGUGACAGUGUCUCUUGUUUACUGAAGUGUCAAUCCGCCCGUAUUGUACGUGUGUUCUCUAGGUGCGAGAAAACAGAGGGAUAGUGUGUGUCGAGUGCGCGAGACCCACAGUUAUACGUAUCGUUGUUUUUGAUAGCAAGCUACUAGAACAGUGCCCGGAAACGGCAAAAUACUUUUCGGACAACCGAUCCAGGGGAAAGAAAAGCGAGGGAUCGUGAACAGACGGCAGUGCAUUUGCAGUGAAAAUUUUCAAGCCCGCGGAAGCAUGUUCGAGUACGCGAGAGCUUUGGUGAUCUAUAAGAAUGUGUCACAUCGAGCAUCUUGUUAUCAGCGAAGGAGAUAAGAUACUUCCUUAACGCACAAAAGUUUUAUAAUACGUACAAAUGCAAACACAACUGUAAUCUUUUGCAAUAAAUGUACUACAAUACUCAAGAGGCA